RNAcentral lists this small RNA (104 nucleotides) under bovine gut metagenome. Its description in RNAcentral is "RT-5 RNA". It matches the Rfam family "RT-5 RNA". Rfam says of the family: Clostridium (Firmicutes). Environment (Cow rumen (57)) The record is from RNAcentral.
UUGCGCCUGCGGCGGGUCCGGCACAGGCUGUUUUGAGCGCUUCGCAGGCAGCCGGCUUGUGUACGAUCCUGUAUAUCCCGGAAUUACCGGGAUUUAACGGUUUC